Molecule: ribosomal RNA, 252 nt
Filed under: uncultured bacterium
Lineage: Bacteria
Description: partial 16S ribosomal RNA
Rfam family: Bacterial small subunit ribosomal RNA
Source: RNAcentral
UACAGAGGGUGCGAGCGUUAAUCGGAAUUACUGGGCGUAAAGCGUGCGUAGACGGCUAUCUAAGUCGGGUGUGAAAGCCCCGGGCUCAACCUGGGAAUUGCAUUCGAGACUGAAUAGCUAGGGUACGGUAGAGGGAAGCGGAAUUUCCGGUGUAGCGGUGAAAUGCGUAGAUAUCGGAAGGAACAUCAGUGGCGAAAGCGGCUUCCUGGACCAGUACCGACGUCAGGCACGAAAGCGUGGGGGGCAAACAGG